CUGUGUGGAUAUCAUUGUUUGCUGUUGGGGCAUGCCACCUGUUCCCAUGGUUUGAGCCCAGGCAUCUACCAAUGGGGGCAAUGUGAAAGUUUUAUGCAUUAACUUGGAAGUGCAAUUCACUCACGAUUCACUGUUUUUGGUGUAUGAUGCAGGCCCUAGAUACAAAAAGUGUUGUUGGACUCCACUGAAGUUCAAAGUGACUGUGAAUCUUGAGUCUCUUGUAGUAAUGGGGGUCUUGGUUUGUAUACCAAGGUUCAUCCUGUUCCCCAUGUUUACUGGGAAUGGGUAUUUACUAAUAGAUCAGUGCAAAAUACCGUGGACUGAAGAAUAUGGAUCCAACUGCAGGUCAGAAUUAAGGUGUCUAGGCAAACCUAUGUGAUGGAAGCUAGUUCAAUUCUUUAAUGUGCUCUUCUAAUGUAAUAAAAUACUCUGUACAUACUUAGCCAAUCAAUAUUGUGAGCAUGAAACCAGAAAAAAAUGAAAUAUUCAUGUUUUGGGGAAAGGAGUAACAGUCUUACUUCUGAUUUAAUAAUCUUGGAAAACUACCACCCUCUGAUUUCAUAUUCAGAAACAAAAAUGCACAUUUGAAUCUUUGCUUCACCCCUAAGCAUGCAUUAGAAGGGUGGUGAAAAUCCGCCUUGAAUACAGCAAGGAUAAUUGAUAAGGGUAAUUGGGGACCUGCUAUUCGGAACAUAGAGAGAUGACUUGAACAUGCACAGAAAAUCAGUAUUUCAAGCUGGCACAGACAUAACAUUGCUGUUAUGUAUGCUAAGGAUGAAAUGCUCUAAUUGUAUUUGUUAAUUGUGUAUGGCUCACCCAGCCCACCCAGGAUUUGGAAGUGGAAGAGUGACGGUGGGGGGUGGGGCAUGGAUUUGGAAGCAGGAAACUGGCAGGAACGGGAUAAGAUUCCUCUCAUCUUGGAGACUGUGACCUGCGUGGCUGUAUUUAGGAGCAAAUGAAAUGAAAAGGGAAACACUAAGGUAAAAGCUACAUCUGAUGUCAUGUUAAGUCCAAAAAAUAACAGCUUUUACAGAUUUGAUAUGUGUUUAAAGCAGGCAGGUGGGUUGACAAGAGUUACUUCUACCACUUAUCCAACGUCUUGGCUCCAUCCAUCUUUCACUCUCUGCCCUGCCCCACACCCAUCUGUUCCAUAAGACCUCUGCCAAGACCUUGGUGGAAUUUGAUUGGGAAGGGAUUCUGCUUACACACUUUGCUUCUUCCUGAACCCUUGUCUAAGGCACACAAAUGGCCCCCGCUUCAGCUUCUCCACACAAUGGAACUUCCCACACUCUGCUAGACAGUUGUCAUGUUUAAUUUGUCUCCUUAGGUCAUUUUAAAUGUGAGCUUCUGCUUCUAAUGUGAAUGUAAAACCUGCAUUGGCUGCAACAUUUUUUAUUUUUCUUCUGAAUUCUCUCUCAUAUUGAUAGCAUUCAUAUGUACCCCAAGAAGUGUGAGAGAGACCCAAACGGUUUUGAGUAAAAUAAAAUAAAAUCCUGCUAUAGGGACUAGUAUAGUCCCCAAAACUGAAGGCCAUGCCUUGAUUUGAAGUCAGACGUUGACACUAGAUAUUAAAGUUCAGUCAUGGAUAGUCAUGCAGGGUUUAUUGGUAACAGUUGUAGCAAUGCCUAGUUGUGAGAAAUACAUUUAAUUCCCACCCCACCCCCCAUGUAAUUCUGUCUUAUCAUUUGCCAGUUUUUGUACCACUGUAGCUUCAACUAGCCUCCUGAACUAUCAAAAGAGCAAGGGGAAUACUAUUGCCUCAGUAACCCUUUUGUAAUUUGUCUGUGUUUUCAUAAAUGUACUUGUGGUGACCUUCUUUGCCCUCUUUUAAUUCUUAUGCCUUUUCCUAAACCAAAAGUUAGGGAAAGGCAUAGAGUAAUACUUGCAAAUGGGAAAUGCUAAUUUAUUCAAUCUGAACGUUCGCUAUCUGCUUAAGGGGAUCACUUGACUAAAACAAAUAUAUAUCAGAUGAACAUAGCAAAGGUCAUUACAAAAAACAAGUAUUUCUAAAGGGUCUCCCCAUUAUCUCUAAUGGGCCCCAAAUAUAAUUUCUUUUUUGAAUUGAAUUUGUCAAGCAACAUCUUGAUUUCUGCCCCUCCCCUGCAAAUGAACAGAUCCACUUACCACUUAACACAUCAAUUGGCCUGUGUGUAUAACAUGCAGAUUUGGGUUUCUUUUUGAGUCCAUUGUUGGAGAUUCCGUUUCCGCAAAGGAAAUGCAAGCCUACUGACACACACCAAGCUAGAAAACUAAUUUGUACCUUUUUGAAUUUAUAAUCUUGCCUAUGCUUCUAUGGACACUUUGUAUGGGCUGCAGCUCAACUCCUUAAAAUCAGCAAAGAAUUUUUCCUUUCCCAUAUAGUAUUCUCUUUUAUUUGACUUUUAAAAUGCGUAUAAAUGCAAUAAUGCAGGUAGACUAGAAAUACUAGAUUGAAAAUUAAAGUAGUUUAGCUUGUCCCAUUGUGACCUACAGUGUUGUAUGUCACCCAACGCUGUAUCCUAGCAUUCUCGAGGCUUUCCUACGUAGCUGAAUCUAGUAUUAGCUUUGAAAAUCCAUUGUGUGAAUGGCGGGUGGGUUGAUUGGGAAAGUGUACGCUUUUACACAACGUAUGUUACUUGCAUCAGAAGCUAUAUGGCCACUCCAUAUACUAUGGAACUGUAAAUGAUUCCCAAUAUACCUGUAACUCUUAUCAAGAUUGUGUGAAAUAAACUAUAUAUAUAUGUAUAUUG
RNAcentral lists this long non-coding RNA (2729 nucleotides) under Podarcis lilfordi (Lilford's wall lizard). The record is from RNAcentral. Lineage: Eukaryota; Metazoa; Chordata; Lepidosauria; Squamata; Lacertidae.